CUGGCCUUCUGCGUCUGCUGGCGCCUGCAGGGCGUCGUCUCCGACGUGACGGCGGCCGCGCGGCGUUUCCCUUGGGCUCUGCCCUGCGCAGCCCUGGUCCGAGCUGGCCAGUAAGGCCCCGCGCCCUCCCCGCCUCGCCGCGAGGAUCCACCGCGGCCGCCCAGGCUGUUGGCCUUGUCCUCACGGCUCGGAGAUAAGCCGGCGCUGGUCACACCGCGAAACCCCUGUUCGCACUGAGACCCCGCUCGGGAUCAUGCGCACAGGCCAGGGCGCAGCAAGCCUUGGAGAAGCUACCUGCACAGCCCAUUCCUUGCGCGAGCUUCGCAUCUUCUGCCUCAGUUUCCUUACCUGUAAAGGGGUGAUCAUAGGACAUCCUUGGUCACACCUUUGUGGGACCCACCUGGGCUAGAGCGCGGUACCCGCCCAGGACAGUGACUGCUGCUGGAAACCGUCGUGGCACUGGGGUCACCUCCCCAAGGAGGAAGUGGGCUUCCUGCAAGCAGAGCUGUGCCCAGGACCAUGCCAGCCCAUGACAGGCAUUCACCCUGUUCUAACCAGUGAACAAAGGGGAGGAGUAAUUUUUUCAACAAAUGGUGCUGGGAUCUUGCAGGUACCUGAACAUAUGCAAGCUCCUGGAGGGCAGCAUGCCCAGGGAGGGCAGGUAAGCUCUGUGCCCACACCCCCACAACAAACACACACACACAUAUACAUACCCCACACACACAUACCCAACACACGCACACACCCAACACACGCACACAUACCCAACGCACACACUGAACACACACAUACACACACCCAUCAUAACACACACACACACACCCAACACACACCUACACAACCCCCAGACACACACACUCAACACACACACAUACCCAACACACACACAUACCCAACACACAUCCCAGCAUACACAGCAUACACACAUACCCAACACACAUCCCAGCAUACACAGCAUACACACAUACCCAACACAACACACACCAACACACACAACACACAUAACACACUUCCAACACACACAUACACAUACCCAACACACAACAUACACAUAUACACCCCCAAUACACACAACACAUGCCCAGCGCACACAACACACACAUAUACACACCAAACACACACACACGCCUAA
This 1132-nucleotide long non-coding RNA is filed under the name Macaca nemestrina (pig-tailed macaque). RNAcentral's name for it is "lncRNA (ENSMNEG00000046021.1)". The record is from RNAcentral. Lineage: Eukaryota; Metazoa; Chordata; Mammalia; Primates; Cercopithecidae.